This is an RNA transcript of Hemicordylus capensis (graceful crag lizard), 5292 nucleotides long. It is a transcript of the gene named basic proline-rich protein-like, with no coding region annotated. The record is from RefSeq and is a predicted model, not a curated record. NCBI's taxonomy places the organism in Eukaryota, Metazoa, Chordata, Lepidosauria, Squamata, Cordylidae. The transcript is spliced from 2 exons.
GUGCUCCUUCGGAUCAAGGGAGGGUGGUUGGUUUCGCCCGGGAAGGGGCGUACGGCGCAGGGGAGUCCUCUCUGCAGCAUUCGGCAUCGCGGCGACGACGUUCUCCGCCCGGCUGGGCGCGGCGCAUUUUCGGCUUCUCUGGGCCUUCGGCCCGCACGGUUUGGUCCCUCUCCCCUCCGGCUCCCGGACUAGGCCCUGCCUUUUAAGGCAGUAGCGCUCAUGGGGGAUAACCCCUUUCACUCUCCUGGGUGGUUGAAGUCCCGUUUUUGUUGUUGUUGUUGUUGUUGUUGUUGUUGUUGUUUCUUUCGUGCAUUAUCUUCUUCUUCUCCUGGCUUCUUCCUGGUCCCCUGGUGACAGAUUGGGGCUGUGGGUGGUCUGCCCAGCUGGGUGGGGGAUCGGGACUUGGCCUUGGGGGGGUGGUUUUUUUACGCUGACACAGGGUUCUAUCUUCCUGGCUGUUUAACAUAGCGUUUCUUGAGUUUGGGUGGAUUGGGGUGUUCCUGCCUGCUGCCAAGUGUGUGAGUGUACUGGUUGUUGGCUAACUGGUUUGCAGUCGGUUUGAUUGCAGUGCGAGUCAUGCCCAGGAAGGCUAAAGAAAAGAAGGGUGGGAGACCCAUCAGACCACCCAAGAGACCUGCUGCUCCUCCUCCGUCUUCCUCCGAGGAUGAGGACGAGGAAAUGGGUGUUAUUAGGGCCCUAACAUGGAGGAUGGAGGCGUUGGAAAGGGCCAGGAAUGUUCCAUCGGAUCCAGGGGCUGGCCCAUCUGGCGGCGGGGGCAUUCCGCCCCCCAAGGUCCCUCGCAGGACUCGUGGGGCUGCUAGGAGCCAGUCUCUUUCCAGCAGGUUGGAGGCCCUUGAGAAGGCUGGUGGCCCUGCUGGACCCGACACUCCAUCUGAACCUUCUGGUCCAUCGAUGCCUUCGCCAGAUCUGCUGGGGCAGCCGGCUCCUGCACGACCUCCGGACCCGGUUCCUGCACUGCCUGGACCUGUUUCACCUCAGCCUGUGGCGCCGGCGGAGCAGCCUCUUCGGGAUCCGUCUCUCCCUUUGGCCCCGGGUGAGCCAGCAGCACCGACACCCCCCGGCAGCACCGGCCAGUGGCCUUCUAUACCCUGGCCUGUGCCUGCCAUGGGGGGAUGGGGACCAGCCACAUACUGGUCCCCCUAUGUGCACACUUGGGGUUCAGGGUUCACUCCACCCAUGAUAGGUAACGUGUUGGGCCUCCAGGGCUCGGCCAAACAGAUUUGGGGUGUCAAUAGGCCCUCCGGCGCGCCCAUCAUCUCGUCUGCGAACAACACUACUGCCCCGGUCCCCGCGCCUAGCGGCCCGGGGUUCUAUCCUAUGGGCAUUACCCCCACACCCCAACACGCCCCGUAUGGGAGGAUGGGGCUUCCUUUAGGAGACCACUUGCUCCCUGCCACAAAGGAAAAGAUCUUAAAGGGAGAGUACAUAGACAUCUUUAGCCUGCUGUUCAGGGAACCCGAAGUUAAACAUAAAGGAGAGUCCUGCAAGGAACAUGAGGCUACGAAGCGGAAACCGGUUGAAAAGACAUGGAGCAACUGGCUCUCCAGCUUUACCAUAUACAUGGGGGUAAUUGUGCAGGCGCAGCCGGCUAGGGGCCCCUCCUUGCUGAAAUACAUGGAUAUUAUCCACAGGGCCGUCUCUGAUUUUGCAGGAUCCGCUUGGAUCCGCUAUGACGAAAGUUUUAGGAUGAGAGCGGCCCUUGAUCCAUCUUUGCCCUGGGAUGCCCUGCUACAGGAAUUGUGGCUUGUGAUAAUGUCCCCGGCCCGCCCGGUUGAAGGGGACAGAUCUGAUAGCAGACACUUGUUGUCUAAGCCGCUUGGCUCCGUGUCUACUACUGGGUCAGGCCAUCAGUGGGUUCAAUCCCACUUGGUCUGCUGGGAGUACAACUCAAAUGGUAGGUGCUCCCGGUCGCCCUGCCAUUACAGGCACGCGUGUGGCCUCUGUGGGUCCAAACACCCCAGUUCAGGCUUCUCUCGGACCCAUUCCUCUGGUUCGGGAGGCAAGUUUCAGUUGGGAGGUGGUAGGAAGGGGGCCCCCCUCCACCCGCUGCGGGUAAAGGGGCCCAGCCCCAUCAAGCUUGAGGUGUUGGGCCGCCUGUUGCAGGAUUAUCCCGAUGGAUCGGCGGCUUCCUACUUGUUUUUUGGUUUCCGGGAUGGGUUUCGCAUCCCUUCAUCUUCUAGGCAGGGGUCCAUCACAACACGUAACCUCAAGUCCGUUAUAGGUCAGGAGCAGGUUGUCUUAAGGAAAAUCGCAAAGGAAGUCGCGGCCGGUAGGGUUGCGGGGCCUUUUCAGACCCCUGCCUUCCCAGGGCUGCGCGUUUCACCGCUUGGGGUGGUACCCAAGAAGGUGCCAGGUGAAUUCCGGCUAAUUCACCACCUCUCUUACCCCAAAGGGUCGUCAGUCAAUGACGGCAUCCCCGACACUUUGUGUUCCGUCCGCUACACAUCCUUUGAUGAAGCGGUCCAGGUUGUUCGCAGUAAAGGGGUGGGAGCUCUCUUAGCCAAGUGUGAUAUCGAGUCCGCCUUCCGCCUGCUGCUUGUCCAUCCAGCUGAUUUCGAGCUCUUGGGAUUUGCCUUCGCUGGUCAGUUCUAUUUUGACCGAGCGUUGCCCAUGGGCUGCUCGAUUUCAUGUGCGGCCUUUGAGGCUUUUAGCACUUUUUUAGAAUGGAUAGUGCGGCGGAGGGCGGGGCUUGUGUCAACGGCCCAUUUUUUGGAUGACUUUGUCUUUGUAGGGAGGGGCAAUUCUGGGGAAUGUUGUCACCUGCUGUGCUCCUUCAUGGAGUUAGCAGCGGAACUUGGUGUCCCUCUAGCGCAAGAUAAGACGGAAGGCCCGGCUACCCGGUUGUCUUUCCUAGGCAUUGAGCUUGACUCAGUAGCAGGGUGCUCCAGGUUGCCCCCUGACAAGUUGCAAGCCUUGCUGGCUUUGGUUAGGACCCUAGGGCAGGCCCGCAAGGUUUCCCUGAGGGAACUGCAGGUGGUAGCCGGUCACCUGAAUUUUGCCUGCAGGGUGGUUGCCCCUGGUAGGGCUUUUCUGAGAAGACUCUGCGAUCUCAUGGUAGGCCUUCGGGCCCCGCACCACAGGGUGCGGAUCUCCGAAGGAGUCAGGGCCGAUUUGGCCCUGUGGGAAACCUUUCUUCUCACAUUUAAUGGUACCUCGCUCUGGCGGUCUGAACAUCUUUUAGAAGACGACUUGCAGGUCCAUUCGGAUGUGGCUGGAGGGGCCGGGUUUGGGAUCUAUUUUAGGGGCCGGUGGUGUGCUGCCCCCUGGCCUGCAUUGUGGGUCGAACGAGGGUUAGUUAGGGACAUGACUUUUCUCGAGUUGUUCCCCAUUGUGGUUGCAGUCCACAUCUGGGAGGGGGAGUUUGCCAACUCUUCUGUGAGGUUCUGGUGUGAUAACCAGGCCGUGGUGCACAUUGUCAAUACCCAAACCUCACACUCACAGAGGGUCAUGUGCUUGGUCAGAGCACUGGUGCUCCAAUGCCUGAGGGGGAAUAUAGUCUUUCAGGCCUGCCAUGAUCCGGGGAUAAAAAAUGAGAUCGCUGACGCCUUGUCUCGUUUUCAGGUAGACAGAUUCAGGGCGUUAGCUCCCGAGGCAGCGCGGCUCCCGGACCCCAUGCCAGCAGUCCUGUGGCAGCUUGGCAAUUGGAAGCCCAGCAGGCCAUAGCAGCGUCACUGGCACCUAGUACCAGGGCGAGUUACGCGGCCAAGAUAGAGGCUUUUGCCCAAUUCCGGAAGGCUGAAGGUUUGGCAGAGUCUUGGCCUGCCCCGGUUGGUCACCUGCAGCAGUUUUUAGUCUCACAACACAAAGCGGGGCGAUCUGGGUCUACUUUGGGUGGUUACUUGUCGGCCUUGUCUUUUGAGGCUCAGGUUAGGGGGGUCGGGGAUUCCUCCUCCGAUCCACGUAUCAGGCGUAUGUUGGAGGGAUGGGCCAGGAUGUCUCCGGCGCUGAUUGACAGCAGGCGCCCGAUUAUGCUGGACAUGUUGGCUUCCAUUUUGGGUCGCCUGGACGGCUGUUGCUCCAGCCCUUGGGAAGUUUCCCUCUUUAGGGCAGCGCUUCUGGUUGCCUUUUUUGGCGCAUUUCGCCCCUCUGAGUUGCUGCCACGUAGCAGCUGUUCCCCACGGGAUUGUUGUCUCCAACUUUCUGACUUAACAUUUGAGGCCGGUACGGCUAACCUGUGCCUCCGUCGAUCUAAGACGGAUCAGAGGGGCAAGGGUCACUUGGUCAAGUUAGCAGAGGCUACUGGUUCUGCGCUCUGCCCGGUGGCAGCCCUUAGGCAUUACAUUGGACUGUGUCCCCGGCCUGGGGGAUGCUUGUUUCUUCAUGGGAGCGGCUGCCCAUUGAAGCAAUAUCAGUUUCUGACAGUGAUCAGGAAGGUCCUUAAGGAAGCCAGGAUCCCCACAGCUGGGCUCACCCUUCAUUUCUUCUGGAUAGGGGCUGCCUCUACUGCUUCCGGAUUGGGCAUGACUGAGGAUGCCGUGCGGCGGAUUGGGCGUUGGAGGUCCGUGGCGGUCAGGCGGUAUGUGCGCUGACAGUGGCCAACGUCUCAUGGUUUCUCUUCUGUGUUUCUCCCUGCAGGUGCUGGUGGAGCGGCGGCUCCAGUCCAGGUCCUGGUGUGUGGCCAUUCGCUGGUCUUCUGGGCCUUCAGAUAUUUCUGUUUCCCAUGCCCUUGAUGUCAUCCUGGCAGUUUGAGAAGAAAUGGCAUCACUGCAAAAUGAUGCCACUCAAAAUGAUGAUUUUCAAAGCAUUCUUAAAGAAGCAGGACUGAACACUAUAGAACACCAACCAAAUCAUUCAAAUGAAAUAAGGUCCGGAGAUGGGGUGCAAAAGAUGGGCAGUGUGUGGGAGGAAGAGAUGCAAACUUAGAAUCCUGGCAAGGUGGCUCCUCUGCCUGGGUCCCAGUGAUACCUCUCGGUUGUGCUAGCAUGAGGGGUGGCUGCUGGGGAGGGGCCAAAGGAGACAGGGAAAGAGCUUGAAGUCCUGGAUGGGGCCAAGCACAAGCUCCCAGCCCUAGAGCAGUGCUGUUGCCACUAGCCCAAGUGGUGGCUACACAGGGACGGGCCUUCUCUGUUGCCACCUCCAGACUCUGGAAUGUGCUCUCUGCUGAAAUAAGAGCCUCCCCAUCUCUGACAACGUUAAAGAAGCCUUUCAAGAAACAUUUUUCACCAAAGCCUUUUAACUAGACUUGUGGUUUUAAAUCGUUUUUUAAUGUCUGUUUUAUUUUGUUUUAUGUUUUUGUAAACAAAAUAAACUGUCACUCAAAUGAAACUUGAU